CCUACGGGUGGCAGCAGUGGGGAAUAUUGCGCAAUGGGCGAAAGCCUGACGCAGCGACGCCGCGUGAGGGAUGAAGGUCUUCGGAUCGUAAACCUCUGUCAGCAGGGAAGAACGGUCACUGUGCUAAUCAGCAGUGAAUUGACGGUACCGGCAAAGGAAGCACCGGCUAACUCCGUGCCAGCAGCCGCGGUAAGACGGAGGGUGCGAGCGUUAAUCGGAAUUACUGGGCGUACAGCGCUCGGAGGCGGUAUGUCAAGUCAAGGGUGAAAUCCCCGCGCGCAACGUGGGAACUGCCUUUGAAACUGGCAACCUGGAGUGUGUGAGAGGCUAGUUGAAUUCCAGGUGUAGUC
RNAcentral lists this ribosomal RNA (350 nucleotides) under uncultured bacterium. RNAcentral describes it as "partial 16S ribosomal RNA". It matches the Rfam family "Bacterial small subunit ribosomal RNA", at positions 338 to 680 of the family's 1533-position model. The record is from RNAcentral.